AUGAACGCUGGCGGCGUGCUUCACACAUGCAAGUCGAACGGAAAGGCCAGUGCUUGCACUGGUGCUCGAGUGGCGAACGGGUGAGUAACACGUGGGUGAUCUGCCCUGCACUUUGGGAUAAGCCUGGGAAACUGGGUCUAAUACCAGAUAGGACCAUGCUUUGGAUGGUGUGGUGGAAAGUUUUUUCGGUGUGGGAUGAGCUUGCGGCCUAUCAGCUUGUUGGUGGGGUAAUGGCCUACCAAGGCGUCGACGGGUAGCCGGCCUGAGAGGGUGUACGGCCACAUUGGGACUGAGAUACGGCCCAGACUCCUACGGGAGGCAGCAGUGGGGAAUAUUGCACAAUGGGCGCAAGCCUGAUGCAGCGACGCCGCGUGGGGGAUGACGGCCUUCGGGUUGUAAACUCCUUUCGCAACUGACGAAGCUUUUUGUGACGGUAGGUUGAGAAGAAGCACCGGCUAACUACGUG
RNAcentral lists this ribosomal RNA (466 nucleotides) under uncultured bacterium. RNAcentral describes it as "partial 16S ribosomal RNA". It matches the Rfam family "Bacterial small subunit ribosomal RNA", at positions 29 to 507 of the family's 1533-position model. The record is from RNAcentral.